This is a non-coding RNA of Pestalotiopsis sp. 9143b, 72 nucleotides long. Lineage: Eukaryota; Fungi; Ascomycota; Sordariomycetes; Amphisphaeriales; Sporocadaceae. The record is from the annotation of a GenBank genome assembly.
UCCGAUAUGGUGUAACGGCUAACAUUAAGGAUUCUCACUCCUUAGCUCAGGGUUCGAUUCCCUGUAUCGGAG